This 253-nucleotide ribosomal RNA is filed under the name uncultured Sphingobium sp. RNAcentral describes it as "partial 16S ribosomal RNA". It matches the Rfam family "Bacterial small subunit ribosomal RNA", at positions 524 to 776 of the family's 1533-position model. The record is from RNAcentral. Lineage: Bacteria; Pseudomonadati; Pseudomonadota; Alphaproteobacteria; Sphingomonadales; Sphingobiaceae.
UACGGGGGGGGCUAGCGUUGUUCGGAAUUACUGGGCGUAAAGCGCACGUAGGCGGCGAUUUAAGUCAGAGGUGGAAGCCCGGGGCUCAACCCCGGAACAGCCUUUGAGACUGGAUUGCUUGAACAUCGGAGAGGUGAGUGGAAUUCCGAGUGUAGAGGUGAAAUUCGUAGAUAUUCGGAAGAACACCAGUGGCGAAGGCGGCUCACUGGACGAUUGUUGACGCUGAGGUGCGAAAGCGUGGGGAGCAAACAGG